GCCGCGCGCCCCUCAGGCGGCCGGGCCCGUCCGCGCGACGCCUCUCGCGCUCUUUCGGCCCGACUCACCUCCUCCGCCGCCGGCCGGGCCCGGCUGCUGGUCCUUACGCGGCGGCUGGGGUGGCGGCGGCUGCGGCGGCGAGACGCGCUGGUAGAGCGGCGGCGGAGGGGGCGGCUGCGGCGGCGGGGGGCAGUUUCUCCGGGAUUAAGCGAGAAGUCGCGGCGGAAAAGGCCCAGCCGGAACGAGAUUUAUGGCGGGGGAAUCCUGGAGCAUGAAGUGCGCAUGCGUAUAUAGAGCAACACCGCCCUCUCCGCUAGUCUCCCUUCACCAUCGACCCUCGGGUCCAGCAUGGAAGCCCUAAGUGACGUCAACCUUUGUUCCCAUGGUAACGCGGAACCUUGGGGCGGGAGUACGGGAGGGGCUGAUGGGCGCCGGAAAACCGGCUCCGUUACGCCGCAGGUAAAGAGACUUCCUGUUUUUUUUAAAUCAAAGACCCAAAAAGCUAUGAAUAGAGAAGACUUAUUGAAGGAUUAAAAACAGUAUUUGAAGUGAUGCAACAACAAAUUAAAUGAAAGAUAACAAGGUUGUCAAUUCAAAAGUUACAAAUACACACUUCUAUCGGAAUCUUAA
This is a non-coding RNA of Macaca mulatta (Rhesus monkey), 630 nucleotides long. The record is from RefSeq and is a predicted model, not a curated record. NCBI's taxonomy places the organism in Eukaryota, Metazoa, Chordata, Mammalia, Primates, Cercopithecidae.